UGUGUGGGACCAGAAAGUCAUGGGCUUGUUCGUACCUGACAGGAGUUAACGGCUCUAUGGGAAAGGAAAGGAAAGGAAAGGAAGGGUGGAGCCAGACUCUGAUUCUGUUCAACCUAACUGAACCAGCAUGGUGAGAUUAUGAGGAAGCCACCUGAAAGCGUUUUGCCACAUAAGACCUCAGGGAGGACUACAGCAAGAUAAAGAAGUGCUCCUUGCUUAAGAACCAGAGAUGAAUUCAACCACAGGAUUAGUCUGAUGCCACAGAAACCCAUGCACUAUGCACCGAAGUGGAAAUAGUGCAUCAGAUUCACUUAUCUGGUCCGUAAAGACAGAACAAGUCUGGGCUGGCAACGUUUAAUUGUAUCCUCAAAGACAUCCUUAAAAACGAUGAGUGAUGGACCUGAAUGCUGUUUAGAACAAAGUACCAUUAUGCCUAAAGACAGCAAAAGUGUGUGGAGGUAAGUAUGAAUGUGUUUUCUCAAGCUGCUCCGAGUGAUUUAGGCCUUUGAUUUGCCUGUCCCCUCCCCUCCAGAAGGGCACAUUGGAAAUUUUAGUUCUGAUUACAAAUCUAUAUACUCCUAAAGCGAGAAUGACUUACCUACUCAAAUUUUACAAUUACUGAUGAAUGCCUUUGGUCUUCCCCCUUUCCAGCUAACCUACCAGCUGAGGAAAAUUUCAAUGACUGGCUGCUUGACUAAGUAAACAAUAAAAGAACAGAAAGUGAAACCCAAGAAAAGAUAAAAUGUAAAUAGUUAGUAUUAUCAAUCAUUGGUCUCACAAGAGCAUAUAGUCUUGGUAGGAGCACAGGAAGGAGUAACUAUAUGAAGAGAUUUGUUCCCUGUUUCCCACCACUGAGGAGGAUAUCAUAAAACUCCAGCAGAGGGACCAGAAGAUGGCGUAAUGGUUACAUCACUGAACUCCCAUGUAGUCGACCGCAGUUCGAGCCCCAGACCCGGUGGCUUAAAAUUC
Molecule: long non-coding RNA, 969 nt
Organism: Tupaia belangeri chinensis (Chinese tree shrew)
Lineage: Eukaryota; Metazoa; Chordata; Mammalia; Scandentia; Tupaiidae
Exons: 3
Source: RefSeq, a predicted model, not a curated record